AAGGCUUAUCGGCCUUUUGGCUAAGAUCAAAUAUAGAAUUUGUUCUUAUCACUUUAAUAAUGUUGUAUGCCUUCAAAUCAUUUCUGACUUAUAGCAACCACAUCACAGGGCUUUCUUAUCCAGAUUUGUUCAGAGAGGGAUUGCCAUUGUUUUUGUCUGAGUCUAAGGGCACUUCCAGACAGGGCUCAAACUCA
Anolis sagrei ordinatus is the source of this 194-nucleotide non-coding RNA. The record is from RefSeq and is a predicted model, not a curated record. Lineage: Eukaryota; Metazoa; Chordata; Lepidosauria; Squamata; Anolidae.